RNAcentral lists this ribosomal RNA (460 nucleotides) under uncultured bacterium. Its description in RNAcentral is "partial 16S ribosomal RNA". It matches the Rfam family "Bacterial small subunit ribosomal RNA", at positions 338 to 795 of the family's 1533-position model. The record is from RNAcentral.
CCUACGGGAGGCAGCAGUGAGGAAUAUUGGUCAAUGGACGCAAGUCUGAACCAGCCAUGCCGCGUGCAGGAAGACGGCUCUAUGAGUUGUAAACUGCUUUUGUACGAGGGUAAACGCAGAUACGCGUAUCUGUCUGAAAGUAUCGUACGAAUAAGGAUCGGCUAACUCCGUGCCAGCAGCCGCGGUAAUACGGAGGAUUCAAGCGUUAUCCGGAUUUAUUGGGUUUAAAGGGUGCGUAGGCGGUCGGAGAAGUUAGGGGUGAAAUCCCGAGGCUCAACUUCGGAAUUGCCUCUGAUACUGUGCGGCUAGAGAGUAGUUGCGGUAGGCGGAAUGUAUGGUGUAGCGGUGAAAUGCUUAGAGAUCAUACAGAACACCGAUUGCGAAGGCAGCUUACCAAGCUACGUCUGACGUUGAGGCACGAAAGCGUGGGGAGCAAACAGGAUUAGAUACCCCAGUAGUC